This 157-nucleotide non-coding RNA is filed under the name Pan paniscus (pygmy chimpanzee). The record is from Rfam by way of RNAcentral. Lineage: Eukaryota; Metazoa; Chordata; Mammalia; Primates; Hominidae. RNAcentral also lists the same sequence under 1 other name.
GCCAGGCAUGGUGGCGCAUGCCUGUAGUCCCAGCUACUAGGGAGGCUGAGGCAGGGGAAUCACUUGAACCCGGGAGGUGGAGGUUGCAGUGAGCCGAUAUUUCGAGAUUGUGCCACUGCACUCCAGCCUGGGUUGACAGAGUGAAACUCUGUCUCAA